Empidonax traillii (willow flycatcher) is the source of this 3229-nucleotide long non-coding RNA. RefSeq lists it as uncharacterized. The record is from RefSeq and is a predicted model, not a curated record. The transcript has 3 exons. Lineage: Eukaryota; Metazoa; Chordata; Aves; Passeriformes; Tyrannidae.
CCGGGCAGGCCCCGCCCCCCGCCGGGAGAGGGCGCAGAGCAGAACUCCCCAAAGACACCUUGACAGUCUGGAUACAGCUGUUUUGUUGAACUAUGGCCACAGCAGCAACAAGGUAUAUUUUUAAGAGUGAAAUGGAAAGUUGGAAACACUGGGUCGAAACCUUCCCCAGGAACAGUGGUCACUUCCUGAAGACAUAGGAGGAGGAAUCAAGUUAAGUGCUUCUCUGUAAUUACUAAUCUUUCAAAGUUACAUAAUCUUUUGACUACUGCAUUGAAAAUGGGUACACACAAAUCAGUGACUUAUGAGCAUGAGUUUCCGUCCACAGUUAUCAGAACCACCCAAACCAUAGUAAAUAUAAAGCCAUAUCACUGCUGUGAGCAGAAGCCCACAUGUUGACUUCUGUGGGGGAUAGGUAUGUACAUCAAAGAGCAUGACCAAACCUAAGAACUCAGAAAGACAAACAGCAAUUAAUGCUACAUCUUUAUUACGGUGGACCUUGUAUGACCUUGAUUUUAUAUCCAAACUAAGCUUCUGCAUUACUCUUCUGGAAAAAGAAGUCAGCUCUUUCCUAUUUCUCAUGUUUCAAAUCCAGUGUUGCACAACCGAGCAUCCAGACUUGCUGUUGUAAUUCAUGCUGUAGAGCAUCCUACCCACUGAAAUGAAUGGGAACUCUAAUGAAACUAAGAUGUAAGGAUGGCAACAUCUGCCUUAGAGUAAAAAUGGAAAUGCCAGCUAUGCUAUUAAAGAAAAAAAGGCCAUAAUAUACAUGAGAGAAGAACCAUGAGUCCUACCUUUAUGGUAUCUAUGAAUCUUAAACCUUACAGCAUUAAAAUAUGGGAAGUUUUUAUUUGUUCGAAACACAGAACAUAAAAUGCGUAGAAAACAAACAGCUCACAGUACGUAUUCUCCCUUUCAUCUUUGUCCAGAACUCCCACUGUUUUCUGUGCAGGAAAAACCAGUGCAAUAUGGUCCAAUGUCUGUAAGUGAUAAAGCAAAAAGCAUUCCAUUAAUUUAUUUCUGAUUUAAUCUGGGUUAUAUUAUUUCAUACAUGUUUGAGACUCCUCAAGUUGCUUGGUUUAUGCACGCAGCGCAUAUAAAUAUUAAUAUUUGGAUAUUGCAGUAUUGCUUCGGCCUAUUGAACAAUUUUUAAAAUAUGAUUUCUAUACUGAAAAAAAAGCCUCUUACAAUAAACUAUGACAAGGGGUAGAAUAUAGUCCUUAUAAAAAUCUGGUUGUGUUGAUAAAGAGAAAUUGCAUAAAUACUGAGACACUAAAGUUCAACAACCAGCUCGUUAGAUGAAGAAAUGCCCUGUUCUACUGGAGAACACAUCGGAAAGACUUUCAAAUGGGGAACUGUACUCUGAUUCCUGCAAUCAUGGUCAGCUUUGUCAGCAUGACUGCUAGAGCAGAGUAAAUUUAACACCAGAAGAGCUAUGGUCAGUCCACCUUCAGCCUUGCCUACCUUCAGUGAAAAGGUGUGCACCUGAAGACCGCUACAUUUACUGAGGUGCGGUAGUUUAAAAUAUUCCUCCUAAGCAUACCAAAGUGCCAGUACUUAAUUAUCAUGGAAGUUACCUUUGUUGAUAGUUUAUACUCUUUUUUUUUUUUUUUUUUCCUGGACAAGGAACCAGAACUACUAAAAUACAGAUGUGUAGUUUCUGCCACCUUUGAUAUGAAGGCAGAAAUUCCUGGGAGAGUGUCAAUCUGGUUAGUUAGGACUUGUAACCUCUUCAACUACUGAUACUCAGUAAGACGUGAUCUGCCUGACUGACUCCAAAAGCAAUAAUCCAUUGUUUGAACCACCUUGUCUCUCUCCUGCAGGGAGUUACCUCGUUCUGUGGGACAUGGAUCAAAUCCAAGUGCUGCUUUCCCAUCAGCAACACAAGAGCUGUCAGUGUUGCCUGUCCAAACCGAGGUAUAGACAUCUGGGCACACAUCAGGGUGGAGGUGGAAUUUUGUUAACAGAGAGAGCUAAGAACUCAGAGAAGACAGAGCAUUUGGGAACUGAUGCCCUCUCUGGAAUAUUAAAAGACCUUAUACAUACCUCAGCGGUUAUGUCUAUAUGGAUGAGUGUGGAGAGUUGCUUGCCUGCUCUUAUACUUAGAGCUACCAGGCUGCAGGCCAGCUCUGAUAUGAAAACUGAAACCACAGCAUUGUGACACUGUGCUUGUAUUUACCAUAACUGUUCUCUCUGCAGGACUUAUCAACACGGCUCUGAGCUUUUGGUGAGUGCAGCUACCUGAUACCCAGACCAGUCUGAUAACAUCCAUCUGGCUCAGACUGUAAGCAGCUGCAUGCACCACCCUGCACGGGCACUUUUGGUUAGUUGCAGUAGUCAGCUCCCACACAGCUACUGCAGCAGUUGUACACAGAUACAGUGAGCUGCUAGUCACUGUACAGUGGAAGCAAACUGCUUCUGUGGCAACAACACUCUUAACAUAUAAUUUCAUGUUUCAUACUGUAGUGGGUUUAUAAUCCCUUUGGAUUCUUCAAGUAAAAUGUAAAAAUGACAAUAUAUUGAAACCAAAUGAAGAAAAAAAUUAAAACCAGAGCAGCUCUAAACCGACAUAUUUAAAAUUACUUUGAAAUUAAAUUAAGCUUUUCAAAGACAAAUGGGUUUCUUGUGGCUCCAAAACAAACAGUAAGCAAUGAAAUACAGACUUAUAUGUGCAUAAAUGACUUAAGUGGUGAAUGGGAAGGAGAUGGUCAUGGAGGGCUGAGCUGAAGAAAGUAUAUUUGAAAGCUCCUGAAAAACCCAUGUAGGAGAGAGUUCCACAGAAAAACUGAAUACUAUGACUCAACUUGAUCCAGAUAAGGUUUUCAUAGGGGACUAAAAGGCAAAACCUUUGAUCUUGGUUGCUGUGAUAGAAAAUUGAGUAAUAAAUAAUGAUUCUUUUAAUAUCUUAAUCAUAGCUUAUAAAGGAUUUUCUCUUGCUAGCAUUCCUUUGCUUCUCAUUGUACUUUGACACACACAGCAUGAUUGCAUGAGUGUCUCAAGUAAACUCAAUAGCUCUUCCAGGAGGAGGCCUGACUCCUUGCAGCCCACCAAAGCUGAAUGUGUCAGAACAAAGGGACUAGAGGAAAAGCAGCCAAGGGGACUUCCUGGCUGGGGAUUGUGUAGCCAGCCAUCAGCCUGCUUUCAUGGAAACACUAGUAAGAGAAACAUCCUCAGGGAACCAUGUGGGCAAACGACAACAGAUGGAUCUGGGGAGUUCAGCUUCUUCCUUAAG